GAUGAACGCUAGCGGCAGGCCUAACACAUGCAAGUCGAGGGGUAGAAGGAGCUUGCUCCUUUGAGACCGGCGCACGGGUGCGUAACGCGUAUGCAAUCUACCUUGUACAGGGGAAUAGCCCAGAGAAAUUUGGAUUAAUGCCCCAUAGUAUAUAACCUUGGCAUGUUGGUUAUAUUAAAGUUCCAACGGUACAAGAUGAGCAUGCGUCCCAUUAGUUAGUUGGUAAGGUAACGGCUUACCAAGACGAUGAUGGGUAGGGGUCCUGUGAGGGAGAUCCCCCACAGUGGGACUGGGAACCGGACCAGAGAGAUACGGGACGGAGCAGUGAGGGAGAUUGGUCAAUGGUAGAAAGACUGAACCGGCCAUGCCGGGUGCAGGAAGGCGGUCCUAGGGAUUGUAAACUGCUUUUAUACAGGAAGAAUCCCUCCCGCGGGUGGGAGCUUGACGGUACUUGAGGAAUAAGGAUCGGCUAACUCCGUG
RNAcentral lists this ribosomal RNA (480 nucleotides) under uncultured bacterium. RNAcentral's name for it is "partial 16S ribosomal RNA". It matches the Rfam family "Bacterial small subunit ribosomal RNA", at positions 28 to 507 of the family's 1533-position model. The record is from RNAcentral.